Molecule: long non-coding RNA, 3959 nt
Organism: Cavia porcellus (domestic guinea pig)
Lineage: Eukaryota; Metazoa; Chordata; Mammalia; Rodentia; Caviidae
Exons: 3
Source: RefSeq, a predicted model, not a curated record
GGCAAAGCAAACACUAGUUCUUUGAGAAAAUCAACAAAGCUGAGAAAUGGAUGGCCAGACUGAUCAGUAAGGAAAAAGAUUGAGAAGCUGAAUUAACAAAAUCAGGAGAGAUCACUAUAUAUUCUACAGACAGUGAGAAGAUCAUAAGAAAUCAAAGUUAUAAACAUUUACAAGGGUCUCACUAUGCAGUUCAGGCUGACUCUGAACUCACUUUGUAACCUAGCCUAGCCUCGAACUCAGAGUGAUCCUCCUGCCUCAGCCUCCUGAGUGCUGAGAUUACAGGACAGCAAAAGCCUGGAAGGGACCUCUGAGAUCAUCAGUACCCCAUUAAUAGCUUUUGGCGAGCCAGCCAGCAGGUAAGAGUGGACUGCCACACCCUGAAGAGCUGACUAGAGAUGGAACAGGGACAGAAUGCAGCUAGGGGUACAGCCCCAUGUGGGUGCUUGGCUCAGAACCCACUGUGAAGCCCAGCUAAGCUUAUGCCUUCGCUUCGUGCCUUGUACUGGGCUGGGGUACGUGCCCUUGGUGCACUGGCUGGGGGUGUCCACAGCCACAAACCCGGGGCCGUGUGGCCCCAGGUACUAGUGGGCCUUUGGGAAGAUGGUACUGUUUGAGCACUUAUGCUCUGCUAGCUGGUUGGGCUUGCAGACGAAGUCACAUCUAGUCCUAGUGCCCUAAGGAAAGGGUGUGGCGACUGGAGAUUUUGGAUUCCACAGAAGGCUGUUAAGAGUCCAGCUAAAUGCAGACCAAGGGAGCAGGUUGAUAGCCCCAGGGGCAGUUAAUGCUGGUGGCCCUGGAGCCACUCAGCAGCCUGCUGGUUCCCUCCACUCCUACCACCAUUCUCCUUCAUGCCUCCCACCACCCCACUCGCUUGGCCGCUUGGCGGGGUUCAGGCCAAGGCCUGCUGCAUUCACAGUGGAGUAUUCUGUGGUCACCUAGAUUGAGUCCCCCCAGAGAGCUGCUCAGUUAUUUUACUCUUUUGGGAAAAACAGCUAUGAGUCAUUUUUCCAGGUAGCCAUCCUGAUAACAGAAAUUCAGAAAAUCUAAAAAAGCACCUGAGGGCCUGAAGAGAGCAAAGGGGGCCUUUGGGAAGAAUGAACUCAACUGGUGGUGAGAAUGCCUUGUAUUUAGAACUUUUUAAGGGUUUUUUCCCCUUUUCUUCUCUUAAAUGAUGAAAAAAAGGUUUCUACUACUACCUUAAAAAGAGAAAAAGCACUGAAAUAUUAUUGCCAUGAAUGCAAGAUCAUUGCUCUGGGGCAAGGUGGCUCCUUGGUACCUUAGGAGUUUAUUGUUUCUAACAGGCCCCUAGUGGUGGCGGUGGGGGCUUCAUUCUUCUCCCUAGGAAAUUGGUGGGCCAUGGUAUGAACAAUUCUAAGCACAAAAAUAAAUAAGAGACACCAUUCAGUAGUACUCAAUUCUUGCAAGGAUUGCCUUGUGAACUCACUGGGUCUUCUCCUCCUGGACCGGACACCAUCUGAAGAACUCCAUGCCUGGUCUUUGCUCUCCAUAGGCCUCAGGGCAUGCCAUGGGAAACACCCAGUAGAUCCCAGUGAACUUGUCAUUCAGCUGUGUCCUUCAAAAUUUGGAAUAAACUAUGAAAUGAACUAAAGGUAGGUACAGAAUUGCAGUUGAAAUACAAUGCAUUUUUCAGAUAGAUUCUUUCUGAAAAAGGGAGGUGGUGUAAAAUCCCUAUGUUCAGGCUUUUAUGGCUGAAGCCUCUCUCCAUGAGUCAGUGCCAUUUGCCAACUGCUGGGGGGCAGUGGAACCAGGCCUCACCAGGAGGCGAUCUUUGCCUGGAAACCAUAGCAUCUUCAUCGUGUUCUUGGGCUGGGUUUUAUUCUCUUUUGUUUUGUUUGAUUAUGUUAAAUCUGAUGGAAUGAGCAGCUAUUUCAAACAUAGCGAGACACAUUACCAUUUUGGAUUUACUACUGGCUUGUUUUGAAGUCCUUUAUUGCAUUCAUUGUUUUGUUUUUAUUGUUUCUAUUCUAUCCGAUUUUUACUGUAUCCGAAGGUAUCUUCAGCUAUUUUGAAGACAACAAAAGGCAAUAUGGUAAUUAUUGUUAUUUCUUAAGGUUUUGAAGUCCUGUAUCACUCAUACUGCUUUAUGUUGAUUGGUUUUAUUCUGUUUUAUUUUCCUUUUUUAAUCUCUAUAAAAUAUAAUUUUAAAAAAUAUUUUAAAAGAAUAAAAAUAAAAUAAAAUUUUAAAAAAAGAAAGUCAAUUUGUUCAGCCAUGAGUUUUUAAUUGAGCCAGAGUCCCGCUGCCUUAGGAGAAAAUGAAGCAGGAGAUGGAAACUGCAACUCCUGGGCCAGUCUGUCUUCUCAGACAGGUUGCUGUCCUGCAUUGCAAGUGACACCAAAGAGAUUCCUCUAAAGUCUCCUUGAGAAAUCAAAAGGCUGAUAGACAAGAAGGGCAGUCUGACAACCCCCUCAAGACCUUAGCCUUGUUCCUAAUUCCUACGGACUAUAAGGAUCAAUCUAGAAAAUGAAUUGGUCCUUCCUCAUGAGACACAGUGACCAGCUAUAAAAACCCUACGUGGGAAGAUGGUCGAUUUUCACAGGAUUGCAAUAGUGGUGACCACCCGAUAGACCUGCAACACUUGCACAUUUGUGGUUGUAAUAACCCUGGAAAGCUCACAUCAUCUCCUUUUCUAAAAGAAAAAUUGCAGCUUCUGUGAACCUCUGGAAAGUCUGGGGAUCCUCUUCAAAAAACAAGACUCCAGUUCUGCUUUGGUUAUAGACAGUCAGGAAUGACCUUUAACCCAUCGCAGCUUAAAUGGGAUUUUCUUUCUUUCUUUCUUUCUUUUUUUUUUUUUUUGUCUUUUUUUUUUUUUCAUUUUUAUCGGUACCGGGGAUUGAACUCAGGACUGCCUGCUUGCAAGGCAGGUGCUUAUGCCGAUGAGCUAAAUCCCCAGCCCCCAAAUGGGAUUUUCUAGUGGGGCUUCUGUCGAUAAUGGGAGUAAUUUUUCUAAGAAUAUAUGUAGACUCUCGGCAAUUUACUGAAUAUCUCUAUUCACCAUGCUUUAUCCUCCACAAGAAGCAAAGAAAUAAAGCUUAAUGUCUCUAAUUGCUGGAUGAGUUAUAGUCAAUCUUUUAAGACAAACCAAGAAAUAUUCUGAUCUACUCCUCCUUAUGUUUGGGCUCUGAAUUUCCAAUCUAAUGGUAAGAUUUAUCUAUUCAAGGCUUCAGACAGUGAUCUAGGUAUAGCCCAUGACCCUCCUGACAAAUUCACCAACUUUUCUCAGCUCAUCAGUUCACUAACUUUUCUCACUGUGUUCUGAUGGGUUUUUCCUGCUUUUAACCUAGCCAUGACACCCCAAGGACAUUAGAGAGCACGUAAUUCCUAGGAGGUAUGGCCUAUGGCUCUUCCGGAAAUAGUCACAUGAAGACAGAGACAGCCACAUCCUCCACAGCCCAUAAAGAAUUGUAAGAAUUUUUGUCUCUCAGGGGAAAUGAGGCAGAUUAGAGCACAAAGUGGCUGGCCAAUUGUGUGUGAUGCAUCAAUCACAGCAACCUGUCAAUCACAGAGAUUUAGCACACAUGCUCAGGGCAGUUCCUAAUCCCUGAGCCUGGUGCCUGUCAGAGAAUUCCAUCUUUGAUUUUUUUGGCACAAGAUCCAGCAGGUUUUACAUCUGACAUCAGAACUGGGUAUAAAAGAGUAGCCAUUUACCUCCUGGCCACCAUGAGCAUUUCACCAGCCCAGCCAACACUCUGCAGAUGGUUCUUAGUUUACUAUCAUGGGCCCAUACUCACUUUGCAAAACACUUCUUUUUCAGAGCAAUUCUUUUCCCUUCUCUUCUCAUCUUUAAUAAAUGUAAAUCUUCACUACAUUUUUUCUUGUCUUUUCCAGUUCACUGAAUAAGACAAGAACCUAGAAGGUACCAUCAGGCACCCCAGUACACUGUUAGAACUAGGAAAAAUUGUUUUUGUUGGUAAUUAUUUAUUUCAGCUAGCUUACCAAA